UACAGAGGUCCCAAGCGUUGUUCGGAUUCACUGGGCGUAAAGGGUGCGUAGGUGGCGGGGCAAGUUUGAUGUGAAAUCUCCGGGCUUAACCCGGAAACUGCAUUGAAUACUGCUCUGCUUGAGGUUUGGAGGGGGGACUGGAAUUCUCGGUGUAGCAGUGAAAUGCGUAGAUAUCGAGAGGAACACCAGUGGCGAAGGCGAGUCCCUGGACAACACCUGACACUGAGGCACGAAAGCUAGGGGAGCAAACAGG
This 253-nucleotide ribosomal RNA is filed under the name uncultured bacterium. Its description in RNAcentral is "partial 16S ribosomal RNA". It matches the Rfam family "Bacterial small subunit ribosomal RNA", at positions 524 to 776 of the family's 1533-position model. The record is from RNAcentral.